RNAcentral lists this ribosomal RNA (221 nucleotides) under Proteomonas sulcata. RNAcentral's name for it is "partial Eukaryotic large subunit ribosomal RNA". It matches the Rfam family "Eukaryotic large subunit ribosomal RNA", at positions 2410 to 2632 of the family's 3401-position model. Lineage: Eukaryota; Cryptophyceae; Pyrenomonadales; Geminigeraceae. The record is from RNAcentral.
ACCCUGUUGAGCUUGACUCUAGUCUGGCCUUGUGAGGCGAGCUGAGAGGUGUAGGAUAAGUGGGAGCCCCGGCGCCAGUGAAAUACCACUACUCUUGGUCUCGCCCCACUCACUCCGUUAGCCCGAGCCGGGCCGCAAGGUCCUACCGGUUGGCGCGCUAGGGCGACUAGGUCGCCCGUCGGUGCGGAGGACAUUGCCAGGUGGGGAGUUUGGCUGGGGCG